GAUGAAGAACGUAGCGAAAUGCGAUACGUAAUGUGAAUUGCAGAAUUCAGUGAAUCAUCGAAUCUUUGAACGCAUAUUGCGCUCUUUGGGAUUCCGAAGAGCAUGCUUGUUUGAGUAUCAGUAAACACCUCAACCUCUUCUUGAUUUUUCAAAAGGAGGGUGGACUUGAGCUAUCCCAACAACCUUUACCGGUCGGCGGGCGGCUUGAAAUGCAGGUGCAGCUGGACUUUUAUCUGAGCUAAAAGCAUAUCUAUUUAGUCCUCGUCAAACAGGAUUAUUACUUUUGCUGCAGCUAACAUAAAGGAUAAUUGUCCUCUUUGCUGACUGAUGCAGGAUUUUACGACACUUUAUGUGUUGUUCAACUCGAUCUCAAAUCAAGUAAGACUACCCGCUGAACUUAAGCAUAUCAAUAAGCGGAGGA
RNAcentral lists this unclassified non-coding RNA (421 nucleotides) under soil metagenome. Its description in RNAcentral is "partial contains 5.8S ribosomal RNA, internal transcribed spacer 2, and large subunit ribosomal RNA". The stretch from base 1 to 120 matches the Rfam family "5.8S ribosomal RNA", at positions 35 to 154 of the family's 154-position model. The record is from RNAcentral.